RNAcentral lists this transfer RNA (71 nucleotides) under Camelus bactrianus (Bactrian camel). It matches the Rfam family "tRNA". Rfam says of the family: Transfer RNA (tRNA) molecules are approximately 80 nucleotides in length. RNAcentral also lists the same sequence under 1 other name. The record is from Rfam by way of RNAcentral. Lineage: Eukaryota; Metazoa; Chordata; Mammalia; Artiodactyla; Camelidae.
GGGGUCAUAGCUCAGUGGUAGAGUGCAUGGUUGGCAUCAUGAGGUCCUGGGUUCAAUCCCCAGUGCCUCUG